Molecule: ribosomal RNA, 253 nt
Filed under: uncultured bacterium
Lineage: Bacteria
Description: partial 16S ribosomal RNA
Rfam family: Bacterial small subunit ribosomal RNA
Source: RNAcentral
UACGAAGGGGGCGAGCGUUGUUCGGAUUCAUUGGGCGUAAAGGGUGCGUAGGCGGCGCGGUAAGUCGGGUGUGAAAUCUCGGAGCUUAACUUCGAAACUGCAUUCGAUACUGCCGUGCUUGAGGACUGGAGAGGAGACUGGAAUUUACGGUGUAGCGGUGAAAUGCGUAGAUAUCGUAAGGAAGACCAGUGGCGAAGGCGGGUCUCUGGACAGUUCCUGACGCUGAGGCACGAAGGCCAGGGGAGCAAACGGG